RNAcentral lists this ribosomal RNA (711 nucleotides) under uncultured Candidatus Pelagibacter sp. RNAcentral describes it as "bacterial SSU rRNA". It matches the Rfam family "Bacterial small subunit ribosomal RNA", at positions 56 to 817 of the family's 1533-position model. Lineage: Bacteria; Pseudomonadati; Pseudomonadota; Alphaproteobacteria; Candidatus Pelagibacterales; Candidatus Pelagibacteraceae. The record is from RNAcentral.
UGCGGUCGAACGAAGUCUUCGGACUUAGUGGCGCACGGGUGAGUAACAUGUGGGAAUCUACCUAAAGGUUCGGAAUAACUGCGGGAAACUGUAGCUAAUACCGGAUGUGUCCGUGAGGAGAAAGCUUUAUGCGCCAUUGGAUGAGCCUGCACUUGAUUAGUUUGUUGGUGGGGUAAUGGCCUACCAAGACUUUGAUCAAUAGCUGAUUUGAGAGGAUGAUCAGCCACAUUGGGACUGAGACACGGCCCAAACUCCUACGGGAGGCAGCAGUAGGGAAUCUUGCACAAUGGAGGAAACUCUGAUGCAGCGAUGCCGCGUGAGUGAAGAAGGCCUUUGGGUUGUAAAGCUCUUUCGUCGGGGAAGAAAAUGACUGUACCCGAAUAAGAAGGUCCGGCUAACUUCGUGCCAGCAGCCGCGGUAAUACGAAGGGACCUAGCGUAGUUCGGAACUACUGGGCUUAAAGAGCUCGUAGGUGGUUAGAAAAGUUGAUGGUGAAAUCCCAAGGCUUAACCUUGGAACUGCCAUCAAAACUUUUUGACUAGAGUGUGAUAGAGGAAAGUGGAAUUUCUAGUGUAGAGGUGAAAUUCGUAGAUAUUAGAAAGAACACCGAUUGCGAAGGCGGCCCCCUGGACUGAUACUGACGCUAAGGUGCGAAAGCGUGGGAGCAAACAGGAUAGAUACCCUGGUAGUCACGCUGUAACGAUGUCACUA